GACGAACGCUGGCGGCGUGCUUAAUACAUGCAAGUCAACUUGACUUUAGAUAGCAAUAUCGAAAAGUAGGGUGGCGCACGGGUGCGUAACGCGUAGGUAAUCUGCCCUGAGGUCUGACAUAACCCGUCGAAAGGCGGGCUAACAUCAGAUGAUAUAUAAUCACGACAUCGUGGAAAUAUCAAAUCUUCGGAGCCUUGGGAUGAGCCUGCGUCUGAUUAGGUAGUUGGCGGAGUAAUAGCCCACCAAGCCUACGAUCAGUAGCUGGUCUGAGAGGAUGAUCAGCCACACUGGAACUGAGACACGGUCCAGACUCCUACGGGAGGCAGCAGUAAGGAAUAUUGCUCAAUGGGGGAAACCCUGAAGCAGCAACGCCGCGUGAAGGAUGAAAUACUUUUGUAUGUAAACUUCUGUAAGAUGGGAAAAAUAUUCUCCUCGGAGAAUUGAUUGUACCAUCAGAGUAAGCCCCGGCUAACUACGUGCCAGCAG
Molecule: ribosomal RNA, 486 nt
Filed under: uncultured bacterium
Lineage: Bacteria
Description: bacterial SSU rRNA
Rfam family: Bacterial small subunit ribosomal RNA
Source: RNAcentral